This 475-nucleotide ribosomal RNA is filed under the name uncultured organism. RNAcentral describes it as "partial 16S ribosomal RNA". It matches the Rfam family "Bacterial small subunit ribosomal RNA", at positions 335 to 801 of the family's 1533-position model. The record is from RNAcentral.
ACUCCUACGGGAGGCAGCAGUGGGGAAUUUUGGACAAUGGGCGAAAGCCUGAUCCAGCAAUGCCGCGUGUGUGAAGAAGGCCUUCGGGUUGUAAAGCACUUUUGUCCGGAAAGAAAUCCUUGGCUCUAAUACAGUCGGGGGAUGACGGUACCGGAAGAAUAAGCACCGGCUAACUACGUGCCAGCAGCCGCGGUAAUACGUAGGGUGCGAGCGUUAAUCGGAAUUACUGGGCGUAAAGCGUGCGCAGGCGGUUUGCUAAGACCGAUGUGAAAUCCCCGGGCUCAACCUGGGAACUGCAUUGGUGACUGGCAGGCUAGAGUAUGGCAGAGGGGGGUAGAAUUCCACGUGUAGCAGUGAAAUGCGUAGAGAUGUGGAGGAAUACCGAUGGCGAAGGCAGCCCCCUGGGCCAAUACUGACGCUCAUGCACGAAAGCGUGGGGAGCAAACAGGAUUAGAAACCCUUGUAGUCCCAUGAU